Molecule: transfer RNA, 105 nt
Filed under: Penicillium brasilianum
Lineage: Eukaryota; Fungi; Ascomycota; Eurotiomycetes; Eurotiales; Aspergillaceae
Description: tRNA-Pro
Source: RNAcentral
GGCCUGGUCGUAUACUGGUAUUAUACGUGCUUCGGGUUAUCAUUGAUCCGAGAAUUAAAAAUUCUCAGCAUGUGCGUGAACCGGGUUCGAUUCCCGGCUAGGCCC